ACGCACGCUGGCGGCGUGCUUCACACCUGCCAGUCGAACGGAAAGGCCCUGCUUUUGUGGGGUGCUCGAGUGGCGAACGGGUGAGUAACGCGUGAGUAACCUGCCCUUGACUUUGGGAUAACUUCAGGAAACUGGGGCUAAUACCGGAUAGGAGCUCCUGCUGCAUGGUGGGGGUUGGAAAGUUUCGGCGGUUGGGGAUGGACUCGCGGCUUAUCAGCUUGUUGGUGGGGUAGUGGCUUACCAAGGCUUUGACGGGUAGCCGGCCUGAGAGGGUGACCGGCCACAUUGGGACUGAGAUACGGCCCAGACUCCUACGGGAGGCAGCAGUGGGGAAUAUUGCACAAUGGGCGGAAGCCUGAUGCAGCAACGCCGCGUGCGGGAUGACGGCCUUCGGGUUGUAAACCGCUUUCGCCUGUGACGAAGCGUGAGUGACGGUAAUGGGUAAAGAAGCACCGGCUAACUACGUG
This 467-nucleotide ribosomal RNA is filed under the name uncultured bacterium. RNAcentral's name for it is "partial 16S ribosomal RNA". It matches the Rfam family "Bacterial small subunit ribosomal RNA", at positions 29 to 507 of the family's 1533-position model. The record is from RNAcentral.